CCGCCAUCGCGAGGAGCGGGUAGGGAACCAGGUCAGGACGGAAACGUAGCAGCCUUAACGUAUCUUCCCCUGUGCGGUGGUUUUCU
RNAcentral lists this signal recognition particle RNA (86 nucleotides) under Bacilli bacterium. RNAcentral describes it as "signal recognition particle sRNA small type". It matches the Rfam family "Bacterial small signal recognition particle RNA". From Rfam's summary of the family: The signal recognition particle (SRP) is a universally conserved ribonucleoprotein involved in the co-translational targeting of proteins to membranes. Archaeal SRP consists of a 7S RNA and homologues of the eukaryotic SRP19 and SRP54 proteins. Lineage: Bacteria; Bacillati; Bacillota; Bacilli. The record is from RNAcentral.